Molecule: ribosomal RNA, 120 nt
Filed under: Misgurnus anguillicaudatus (oriental weatherfish)
Lineage: Eukaryota; Metazoa; Chordata; Actinopteri; Cypriniformes; Cobitidae
Source: RNAcentral
GCUUACGGCCACACCACCCUGAGCACGCCCGCUCUCGUCUGAUCUCGGAAGCCAAGCAGGGUCGGGCCUGGUAGUACUUGGAUGGGAGACCGCCUGGGAAUACCAGGUGCUGUAAGCAUU